Molecule: small nucleolar RNA, 119 nt
Filed under: Octodon degus (degu)
Lineage: Eukaryota; Metazoa; Chordata; Mammalia; Rodentia; Octodontidae
Source: RNAcentral
UUAUAUGCAUUAAAAAAUCCUCAGGGAGCUAAGGGAACCAGGUUUACUAAAGUAAUAGUGGUGAUCGAAUGUACUAGCCUCAGAAGCUCUUGAGGUGCCCUUUCUGUCCUCACACAGUG